GGCCGCGGUAAUACGAAGGGGGCUAGCGUUGCUCGGAAUCACUGGGCGUAAAGCGCACGUAGGCGGCAUCUUAAGUCGGUGGUGAAAUCCUGGAGCUCAACUCCAGAACUGCCUCCGAUACUGAGGUGCUUGAGUCCGGGAGAGGUGAGUGGAACUGCGAGUGUAGAGGUGAAAUUCGUAGAUAUUCGCAAGAACACCAGUGGCGAAGGCGGCUCACUGGCCCGGUACUGACGCUGAGGUGCGAAAGCGUGGGGAGCAAACA
RNAcentral lists this ribosomal RNA (262 nucleotides) under uncultured bacterium. Its description in RNAcentral is "partial 16S ribosomal RNA". It matches the Rfam family "Bacterial small subunit ribosomal RNA", at positions 513 to 774 of the family's 1533-position model. The record is from RNAcentral.